RNAcentral lists this ribosomal RNA (246 nucleotides) under uncultured bacterium. RNAcentral describes it as "partial 16S ribosomal RNA". It matches the Rfam family "Bacterial small subunit ribosomal RNA", at positions 527 to 772 of the family's 1533-position model. The record is from RNAcentral.
GAAGGGGGCUAGCGUUGUUCGGAAUUACUGGGCGUAAAGCGCACGUAGGCGGAUUGUUAAGUGAGGGGUGAAAUCCCAGGGCUCAACCCUGGAACUGCCUUUCAUACUGGCAAUCUCGAGUCCGAGAGAGGUGAGUGGAAUUCCGAGUGUAGAGGUGAAAUUCGUAGAUAUUCGGAGGAACACCAGUGGCGAAGGCGGCUCACUGGCUCGGUACUGACGCUGAGGUGCGAAAGCGUGGGGAGCAAA